This 498-nucleotide ribosomal RNA is filed under the name uncultured bacterium. Its description in RNAcentral is "partial 16S ribosomal RNA". It matches the Rfam family "Bacterial small subunit ribosomal RNA", at positions 28 to 508 of the family's 1533-position model. The record is from RNAcentral.
GAUGAACGCUGGCGGCGUGCCUAAUACAUGCAAGUCGAGCGAACAGACGAGGAGCUUGCUCCUCUGACGUUAGCGGCGGACGGGUGAGUAACACGUGGAUAACCUACCUAUAAGACUGGGAUAACUUCGGGAAACCGGAGCUAAUACCGGAUAAUAUAUUGAACCGCAUGGUUCAAUAGUGAAAGACGGUUUUGCUGUCACUUAUAGAUGGAUCCGCGCCGCAUUAGCUAGUUGGUAAGGUAACGGCUUACCAAGGCAACGAUGCGUAGCCGACCUGAGAGGGUGAUCGGCCACACUGGCACUGAGACACGGUCCAGACUCCUACGGGAGGCAGCAGUAGGGAAUCUUCCGCAAUGGGCGAAAGCCUGACGGAGCAACGCCGCGUGAGUGAUGAAGGUCUUCGGAUCGUAAAACUCUGUUAUUAGGGAAGAACAAAUGUGUAAGUAACUAUGCACGUCUUGACGGUACCUAAUCAGAAAGCCACGGCUAACUACGUGC